AGAGGUCCCGAGCGUUGUUCGGAUUCACUGGGCGUAAAGGGUGCGUAGGUGGUGAGGUAAGUCGGAUGUGAAAUCUCCAAGCUCAACUUGGAAAUGGCAUUGGAAACUACCUCGCUGGAGGUUUGGAGGGGGGACUGGAAUUCUCGGUGUAGCAGUGAAAUGCGUAGAUAUCGAGAGGAACACCAGUGGCGAAGGCGAGUCCCUGGACAACACCUGACACUGAGGCACGAAAGCUAGGGGAGCAAACAGGAUUAGAUACCCUGGUAGUCCUAGCCGUAAACGGUGCGUAUUUGCUGUAAAAGGAAUCGACCCCUUUUGUGGCGAAGCCAACGCGAUAAAUACGCCGCCUGGGAAGUACGGUCGCAAGAUUA
This 371-nucleotide ribosomal RNA is filed under the name uncultured bacterium. RNAcentral's name for it is "bacterial SSU rRNA". It matches the Rfam family "Bacterial small subunit ribosomal RNA", at positions 527 to 896 of the family's 1533-position model. The record is from RNAcentral.